GUGGGGAAUCUUCCACAAUGGACGAAAGUCUGACGGAGCAACGCCGCGUGAGUGAUGAAGGUCUUCGGAUUGUAAAGCUCUGUUAAUCGGGACGAAAGAGCCUAGUGUGAAUAAUGCUAGGAAGUGACGGUACCGGAAUAGAAAGCCACGGCUAACUACGUGCCAGCAGCCGCGGUAAUACGUAGGUGGCAAGCGUUGUCCAGAAUUAUUGGGCGUAAAGCGCGCGCAGGCGGAUCUGCCAGUCUGUCUUAAAAGUUCGGGGCUUAACCCCGUGAUGGGAUGGAAACUACAGAUCUAGAGUAUCGGAGAGGAAAGUGGAAUUCCUAGUGUAGCGGUGAAAUGCGUAGAUAUUAGGAAGAACACCAGUGGCGAAGGCGACUUUCUGGACGAAAACUGACGCUGAGGCGCGAAAGCCAGGGGAGCGAACGGGAUUAGAAACCCUUGUAGUCC
Molecule: ribosomal RNA, 450 nt
Filed under: uncultured bacterium
Lineage: Bacteria
Description: partial 16S ribosomal RNA
Rfam family: Bacterial small subunit ribosomal RNA
Source: RNAcentral